RNAcentral lists this ribosomal RNA (468 nucleotides) under uncultured bacterium. RNAcentral's name for it is "partial 16S ribosomal RNA". It matches the Rfam family "Bacterial small subunit ribosomal RNA", at positions 28 to 507 of the family's 1533-position model. The record is from RNAcentral.
GACGAACGCUGGCGGCGUGCUUAACACAUGCAAGUCGAACGGAAAGGCCCUGCUUUUGUGGGGUGCUCGAGUGGCGAACGGGUGAGUAACACGUGAGUAACCUGCCCUUUACUUUGGGAUAACUUCAGGUAACUGGGGCUAAUACCGGAUAGUAGCUCCUGCUGCAUGGUGGGGGUUGGAAAGUUUCGGCGGUUGGGGAUGGACUCGCGGCUUAUCAGCUUGUUGGUGGGGUAGUGGCUUACCAAGGCUUUGACGGGUAGCCGGCCUGAGAGGGUGACCGGCCACAUUGGGACUGAGAUACGGCCCAGACUCCUACGGGAGGCAGCAGUGGGGAAUAUUGCACAAUGGGCGGAAGCCUGAUGCAGCAACGCCGCGUGCGGGAUGACGGCCUUCGGGUUGUAAACCGCUUUCGCCUGUGACGAAGCGUGAGUGACGGUAAUGGGUAAAGAAGCACCGGCUAACUACGUG